This 765-nucleotide long non-coding RNA is filed under the name Sorghum bicolor (sorghum). RNAcentral's name for it is "long non-coding RNA (SBIC_LNC015615)". Lineage: Eukaryota; Viridiplantae; Streptophyta; Magnoliopsida; Poales; Poaceae. The record is from RNAcentral.
CGGGCAGGGGAGAGGGCGGCGGCGCUCCGGCCAGGGGAGGUGGGCGGCGGCGGUGGCGCUGUGGGCAGGGGAGGGAGGCGCUGCGGGUAGGAGAUGGGGCGGCUCUGUGGAGAGAGGAGGGAGGCGAAAUGGGCCGGCCCAAUAUUGUUAGGGUAAAGUCCUUUGCCGACUGCUUCCAGGUAAAGGCAAUCGGUAAAGGCAUUGGAAAAUAUUUUAUUAUAAUCUCUUUGCCGACUGUCCUACAUUAAGGCAGUCGGCAAAGAAUUUUUGUAUUUUUUUUCUUUUUUUUAAACAGCCACAACUUGCUCUUAAUUUUUUGAAAUUUUUAAUAUAGGUUCCACAUGUGAUAACAUUAAACUUCAAAAGGUUUUAUGAUUUUUUGACUUUUUUUUGCUAUAUUUCAUUAAUUAAUUUCUUUAAAUUGAUUUUUCCGCUACAUAAUCCUACUUUGAACUAUAUGUGCAUGAAAUAGUAAAACUUAGCCAUUCAAAAAAUGAUAUUCAUGUUGAAUAAUGUAUUUUUAGAAUAUAUCCAAAAACUAACCCAAAAUUUUGAAGUCCUUAUCCAUGGAACAUGAUCAUCCAGGUAUGGUAGAAGUGACUUUUAAUUAUAUAAAACUCAAACAAAAUCGGAAAAUUACGAAACUUGUUGAGGUAUCAUGUUAUCACAUGAGGAGACUAUGAUAAAUAUUUGAAAAAAUUUGGAGCAAGUUGUGACGUCAGAUGUACAAAACCCAAACACUUGCGCAUGUGUUCAUAUGUGAUC